CAAUCAAAGUUGUUGUGAUGUGUGAGUUACUGACCAUAUCACAGCACGCUUUGAUGGCU
This 59-nucleotide microRNA precursor is filed under the name Magallana gigas (Pacific oyster). Its description in RNAcentral is "Mgi-Mir-2-o62_pre stem-loop". The record is from RNAcentral. Lineage: Eukaryota; Metazoa; Mollusca; Bivalvia; Ostreida; Ostreidae.